RNAcentral lists this long non-coding RNA (246 nucleotides) under Mytilus galloprovincialis (Mediterranean mussel). Lineage: Eukaryota; Metazoa; Mollusca; Bivalvia; Mytilida; Mytilidae. The record is from RNAcentral.
CGUCGAAGUAAAAUAAUGUAAAUUGACCCCGAUUUCUCGAACUUCGAAAGUAAAAAUUUUCGAAAGAUGCAGACCUAAUGAUAAAAAUUUAAGUCGGAUGUAUUUCUUAUGUCAACUAAUCAUUUUCAUAAGAGAUUAAAGCUGAGUAAAUAUACUUGUUUGUAUAACAGUUAAAAUGACAUGUUUAUGGUGACCGCUAAUUAACAUCUUUGUUGGUCGUUCAAGCGGAAUGUUAGUGUGUUGAAC